Vidua macroura (Pin-tailed whydah) is the source of this 585-nucleotide long non-coding RNA. RefSeq lists it as uncharacterized. The record is from RefSeq and is a predicted model, not a curated record. Lineage: Eukaryota; Metazoa; Chordata; Aves; Passeriformes; Viduidae. The transcript has 2 exons.
GGCUCUGCGCCGCCUUUUCUCCUGCAGCUGUCUCAGGGGGCAGCCGGAGGAGUGAGCCCGGGGCCAGCAUCAGGGCGUUCAGCAAAGAUGCCGGCUCGCCCUGAGGAUGCCCAGCUCCCCGGGGCAGCGGCAGGUCCCUGAGGUAACGGCACCAGGGUGAUCCAAAGACGGGAUGCAUGGAUGGAUGGGUGGAUGGUGGCCAAGGCAACCACUUGCCAAGGAUAGGAAAAUGCCUCCCUGGAUACCAGCAACAACAUAGACUGGUGAAAGGUGUUAACCCCGGCUGAAUGACCUGGUGUCCUCAACUCCAUAAGAAGCACCAGGGCCCCAGUGCAGAAGCUCCCAUUGGGGAAGGAGCAAUGGGACGCCACUUGUGACCAGCAUCUCGAAAUUUCCUCUGUCUGACAUCUUCCCCUCCCCACUCCCACUCUUCCCCACUCAAUCCCACUCUUGUUCUUCCCCACCUCACCCCAACCCAGCCUAACCCUUGCUCUUCCCAUUCUUUCCUUCUCAUUAUCCUCUUUCCCAUCCCUUUCUCUCUGCCCCACAUUUACUGUUCAAUAAAGCCCCCAUUGUUCACUUUGA